This 274-nucleotide ribosomal RNA is filed under the name uncultured bacterium. RNAcentral's name for it is "partial 16S ribosomal RNA". It matches the Rfam family "Bacterial small subunit ribosomal RNA", at positions 523 to 796 of the family's 1533-position model. The record is from RNAcentral.
AUACGGAGGGUGCAAGCGUUACUCGGAAUCACUGGGCGUAAAGCGCGCGUAGGCGGAUUGAUCAGUCAGGGGUGAAAUCCCGGAGCUUAACUCCGGAACUGCCUUUGAUACUGUCAAUCUUGAGUUCGAGAGAGGUGAGUGGAAUUCCUAGUGUAGAGGUGAAAUUCGUAGAUAUUAGGAAGAACACCAGUGGCGAAGGCGGCUCACUGGCUCGAUACUGACGCUGAGGUGCGAAAGCGUGGGGAGCAAACAGGAUUAGAUACCCUAGUAGUCC